Molecule: long non-coding RNA, 2184 nt
Organism: Manis pentadactyla (Chinese pangolin)
Lineage: Eukaryota; Metazoa; Chordata; Mammalia; Pholidota; Manidae
Exons: 4
Source: RefSeq, a predicted model, not a curated record
GAUUAUUAAUAUCUGAUUUAAACAAGGUUUCAAAAUGAGUCAUUCAUGACAAUGAACUAAAUUCAGGUUCUCGUAUUUUCCCUAAAAUUAAUCAAGCAAACAACCUUGAGAAUUAUUAAAAAUAAAGACAUGCAAAAAUGCUAUCAGAAGAGUAGCAGACUGGUGUUUAAUAAAAUAAUUUUGUUUUUCAGGAAAACAUGGAACAAAUGACUUUUUGAAUAAAUGCUGCAAUAAUUGCAUGCAGAAAUCUUAAUGUCUUUGCUGAAAGACGAAAAAGAACUACUUCAAAUACAAAGCAAUUUAUAGUUCAGUUAUGAGAAUGCAUUGGAAAGUAAAAUUAUAGCUGCUUGAGGCUUAUUUGAAUAUAUUUGAAUUUAUAAUGAAGGAAUUCAGAAGUAAAACAGUGUGGACUUGAUCUACCAAAUGUUGUGAUCAUUCUUAAGACUCCAGAUUUCUUGGUAGUAUAAAACUUGAUUGCAACUGUUAUUGGGAAUGUAUAGACUUUGGACAGAAUCCAUAAUUUAGCAGAGUCCAGGGGAAAAAGUUCUUUGGUGAAUAUAUAAAGGCAUGAUACAAACCAACCUUCAGCUUUUAGUUUCACUCAUGGUCUAGUCAUGUCCACUGCCAGAGCUCUUCUGGGAAGCCGUAAGGAGAGUGAUUUGUUGGCCUAGCUUCUGACUUGACUUCAUUCCUCUCUGCGGGGGAUCACUUUACAUUUCCUUAAAUGCAGGGACAGCUUGUAUGUUGGCAGUUGUUUGAAUUGAGAAAUAGAUUUUAAUGAACUAGUUUCUUUUGCUCAGCUGGAGUUGAAGUAGUCAUAGACUAAAUUAACAGCUACAGUCAAGGCUAAGAUGACAGCUGUGUCCCAGAAAAGGAAAGAUACAAAGAAAUGAAAAUUGCAGCGCAAGAUGAAAAGAGCACAUGUUUUAUAGAGAGGAGUUCCACUAAGUAUUCUAUGUCAAGAACAAGACUUAGAAAUUACAUCAGUGGAAGAAGAAAGUCCUGAUGUAAGUGAAUACAUCCACCCACCAUGUCAAAAGAAGAUACUUGAACACAAGUAUCAAAACAAACUAAAUAAACUGAAGAAAUACAUCAGAAAGCAGGAGUACUCAGAAGAGAGAUUAUCUCAACUACAACAUGAAAAUGAGUUGCUCCGACAGCAACUGAAUGAUUCUCAGAACAAAGCUGAAGAUAAUAAAAAGACACUUCUUAACAUCCUAAACCUGCUUGAGGAAUCUGUAGAAGAACUUCAAACUGAAUACAAAAAGUGUUUUAUGCUAAUAGGAAAAAGUAAAGAAUUAAUCAAUGAUUGUAGUCAUCUCAAAGAAAGAAUGAAUCAAGAUGAAAAUAAGGAAAGAGAACAAGAAAUAAGCAUUUAGGAAAAUAAAUAUUUUUCAAACUUCCUGAAAGAAAAUUCAAAUUAAUAUUUGAUUAUGGAAAAAUGUUGAGUCUAGUGGAUAUAAAAAGAAUAUAGACUAUGAAUCAGCUUAAAAGCAUACUUUGUAUCCAGCAAAAAACUUAGACCUGGCAGGUGCUUAUUUUGAAGAAAGACAUUUGUGUGACUAUGAAAUUUUAAGAGGUUAAGUUAUAAAUUUUUACUGAUAGUCACAAUUUAGUCUUAUACUGCUAAAAUAAUAAUUUUAAUCUUUGUGUCAUCACAUUUUAAUACCAUGAUGAAGCAGAAAAGUGGAAAUGCUCAUACUUAAAAUGAACCUCUAGAUUCAAUUAAGUGGAUCACCUUGAAAGUGAUUCCAGAUUUCCCAGAUGAGAUGAAGGGCAAAUGCUGUAUGUCACAGUCCUUUUCCUUCAGUAGCUUUUAUACAUUUUUAGUUUGUAUAAUUUUAUUUUGAUUCAUGUCAAUUUGAAUUUGAUUUGGAAACAUUUUAGUAUAAAUCAUGUAUUCUUAUGAUCUCUAACUCUUUAAAGGCAUCUACUUUCCAGUACAUCAUAAUUUGGGACAAAUGUGCUGAAGUAUAGCAAAACAACACUUGAUUUAAUCUUCCCACUUCUAUUUAUAGUUUUCUUCAAACAUUUUUACAAAUAGUUUGCUCACAGUUCUUAUUUCAAGGAGAAAUGUGGUUGAGAGAUUACAAGACCUAGGUCUGUACAUAACAAACUUACUAGACGUAGGUGUGUCCAGUACAAAGAGAACUGUAACUGUCUGUAAUUGGAGCUCUUUUUCGG